CUCUUUAAUUCAGUUGAUUAGAGAACUGCACCGGAAUCGCAGGGCCGCAGGUUCGAUUCCUGCUAUAGAGG
This is a non-coding RNA of Paramuricea clavata, 71 nucleotides long. The record is from the annotation of a GenBank genome assembly. Lineage: Eukaryota; Metazoa; Cnidaria; Anthozoa; Malacalcyonacea; Plexauridae.